Molecule: non-coding RNA, 26 nt
Filed under: Rattus norvegicus (Norway rat)
Lineage: Eukaryota; Metazoa; Chordata; Mammalia; Rodentia; Muridae
Source: RNAcentral
UAAUCCAAGUGCUUUCAUUCUGUGUG